GAUGAACGCUGGCGGCGUGCCUAAUACAUGCCAGUCGAGCGAACAGACGAGGAGCUUGCUCCUCUGACGUUAGCGGCGGACGGGUGAGUAACACGUGGAUAACCUACCUAUAAGACUGGGAUAACUUCGGGAAACCGGAGCUAAUACCGGAUAAUAUAUUGAACCGCAUGGUUCAAUAGUGAAAGACGGUUUUGCUGUCACUUAUAGAUGGAUCCGCGCCGCAUUAGCUAGUUGGUAAGGUAACGGCUUACCAAGGCAACGAUGCGUAGCCGACCUGAGAGGGUGAUCGGCCACACUGGAACUGGGACACGGUCCAGACUCCUACGGGAGGCAGCAGUAGGGAAUCUUCCGCAAUGGGCGAAAGCUUGACGGAGCAACGCCGCGUGAGUGAUGAAGGUCUUCGGAUCGUAAAACUCUGUUAUUAGGGAAGAACAAAUGUGUAAGUAACUAUGCACGUCUUGACGGUACCUAAUCAGAAAGCCACGGCUAACUACGUG
RNAcentral lists this ribosomal RNA (497 nucleotides) under uncultured bacterium. Its description in RNAcentral is "partial 16S ribosomal RNA". It matches the Rfam family "Bacterial small subunit ribosomal RNA", at positions 28 to 507 of the family's 1533-position model. The record is from RNAcentral.